UCCCUGGUGGUCCAGCAGUUAAGACUCUGCACCCUCAAGGCAGAGUCAUGGGUUCAAUUCCCAGUCAGGGAA
RNAcentral lists this transfer RNA (72 nucleotides) under Ovis aries (sheep). It matches the Rfam family "tRNA". Rfam says of the family: Transfer RNA (tRNA) molecules are approximately 80 nucleotides in length. Their secondary structure includes four short double-helical elements and three loops (D, anti-codon, and T loops). Lineage: Eukaryota; Metazoa; Chordata; Mammalia; Artiodactyla; Bovidae. The record is from Rfam by way of RNAcentral.